AAGUCGUAACAAGGUUUCCGUAGGUGAACCUGCGGAAGGAUCAUUAUCGAGUUUGAAGUGGGUCUUUGAGCUGGUCUUAUUCAGGCAUCGUGCUCGGGCCCCGCUCCAAUCCACUCAACCCCUGUGCACUUUCGGAGUCGCGGGUCACACCGUGAUUUCGUCUCUUAUCACAAACCAAAUGUAUUUGAUGUCAUGUAGAACGUGGAUGCCUUUGAUAGGCGGAAACUCAUUACAACUUUCAACAACGGAUCUCUUGGCUCUC
This 262-nucleotide unclassified non-coding RNA is filed under the name air metagenome. RNAcentral's name for it is "partial contains small subunit ribosomal RNA, internal transcribed spacer 1, and 5.8S ribosomal RNA". The stretch from base 1 to 46 matches the Rfam family "Eukaryotic small subunit ribosomal RNA", at positions 1786 to 1831 of the family's 1831-position model. The record is from RNAcentral.